UACGGGGGGGGCAAGCGUUGUUCGGAAUUACUGGGCGUAAAGGGCUCGUAGGCGGCCAACUAAGUCAUACGUGAAAUCCCCCGGCUUAACCGGGGAACUGCGUCUGAUACUGGAUGGCUUGAGUUCGGGAGAGGGAUGCGGAAUUCCAGGUGUAGCGGUGAAAUGCGUAGAUAUCAGGAGGAACACCGGCGGUGUAGACGGCUUUCUGGACCGUAGCUGACGCUGAGACACGAAAGCGUGGGUAGCAAACAGG
Molecule: ribosomal RNA, 253 nt
Filed under: uncultured bacterium
Lineage: Bacteria
Description: partial 16S ribosomal RNA
Rfam family: Bacterial small subunit ribosomal RNA
Source: RNAcentral